RNAcentral lists this ribosomal RNA (301 nucleotides) under uncultured bacterium. Its description in RNAcentral is "partial 16S ribosomal RNA". It matches the Rfam family "Bacterial small subunit ribosomal RNA", at positions 509 to 807 of the family's 1533-position model. The record is from RNAcentral.
CAGUCGCCGCGGUAAUACAGAGGAUGCAAGCGUUAUCCGGAAUGAUUGGGCGUAAAGCGUCUGUAGGUGGCUUUUCAAGUCCGCCGUCAAAUCCCAGGGCUCAACCCUGGACAGGCGGUGGAAACUACCAAGCUAGAGUACGGUAGGGGCAGAGGGAAUUUCCGGUGGAGCGGUGAAAUGCGUUGAGAUCGAAAAGAACACCAACGACGAAAGCACUCUGCUGGGUCGACACUGACACUGAGAGACGAAAGCUAGGGGAGCAAAUGGGAUUAGAUACCCCAGUAGUCCCUGUCUCUUAUAC